UGGCGGCGUGCCUAACACAUGCAAGUCGAACGAGGUAGCAAUACCUAGUGGCAGACGGGUGAGUAACACGUGGUCAACCUUCCCUACAGUGGGGGAUAACUAGCCGAAAGGUUAGCUAAUACCGCAUAACAUCUACGAGUGGCAUCACAUGUAGAUCAAAGGAGUAAUCCGCUGAAGGAUGGGACCGCGCCCGAUUAGUUAGUUGGUGGGGUAAUGGCCUACCAAGACUCCGAUCGGUAGCUGGUUUGAGAGAGCGACCAGCCACACUGGGACUGAGAAACGGCCCAGACUCCUACGGGAGGCAGCAGUGAGGAAUUUUCCGCAAUGGGCGAAAGCCUGACGGAGCGACGCCGCGUGUGGGAAGAAGGCCUUCGGGUCGUAAACCACUGUCGAAGGGGAAGAUAAUGACGGUACCCUUGGAGGAAGCCCCGGCUAACUACGUGCCAGCAGCCGCGGUAAGACGUAGGGGGCGAGCGUUAUUCGGAAUUAUUGGGCGUAAAGCGCUCGUAGGCGGGACCGAAAG
Molecule: ribosomal RNA, 523 nt
Filed under: uncultured bacterium
Lineage: Bacteria
Description: bacterial SSU rRNA
Rfam family: Bacterial small subunit ribosomal RNA
Source: RNAcentral